UACCCAGGGCGCAAGCGCUCUCCAGAUUCAUUGGCUUUAAAGGCUGCGCAGGCGGCCUUGUCAGUCUCCGGUUAAAUCCUACGGCUUAACCGGGGAACUGCCUUUGAUACUGCAGAUCUUGAGUAUGGUUGAAGUGGACGGAAUGCGGCAUGGAGGGGUGAAAUGCUUAGAUCUGGUACAGACCACCAGUUGCGAAGGCCGUCCACUAAAUCAUCACUGACGCUCAUGGACGAAAGCGGGGGGAUCAAACAGGAUUAGAUACCCUGGUAGUCCAAGCUGUAAACUAUGAUCACUCGUUGAUGGCGAGACUCGGGCAGCGGGCAAGACGAAAGUGAUAAGUGAUUCACCUGGGGAGUACGAUCGCAAGGCUGAUACUCAAUGGAUUCGAGGGGGGCCCACACAAGCGGUGGUGCAUGUCGUUUAAUUUGAUGAUCCGCGAUGAUCCUUGGCUGGGCUCCAGCGUAGGAUGCUGUAUGCAGAAAGGUGCAUUUGUUCGGACAUUCUACGCGGUGCUGCAUGGUUGUCGUCAGCUCGUGCCGUGAGGUAUCUGGGUAAGUGCCAUAACUAGCGCAAUCCCUAUCGUUACUCUGCUUCUGGUCUAGCUGGGGCUUCUAAUGAAGCCGCCUACGCAAGUCGUGAUGGAGGCGGGGAUGCCCUCCAAUCAGCUCGGCCCUUACGUUCAGGGGUCCACACCUGCUACACAUGGCCAGUGCAAAGGGCAGUUGUCUGGGGACAGGAUGUUCAUUUCUAAAGCCGGUUUCCAGUUGGAUCGAAGUGUUCUAACCGCCUUCGUGAAGCUGGGAUUGCUUGUUAUCUCGCAUCAGCCAUGGCGCGGUGAAUUCGUUCCCGGUCCU
This 854-nucleotide ribosomal RNA is filed under the name uncultured bacterium. Its description in RNAcentral is "SSU rRNA". It matches the Rfam family "Bacterial small subunit ribosomal RNA", at positions 524 to 1381 of the family's 1533-position model. The record is from RNAcentral.